GAUGAACGCUGGCGGCGUGCCUAAUACAUGCAAGUCGAGCGAACAGACGAGGAGCUUGCUCCUCUGACGUUAGCGGCGGACGGGUGAGUAGCACGUGGAUAACCUACCUAUAAGACUGGGAUAACUUCGGGAAACCGGAGCUAAUACCGGAUAAUAUCUUGAACCGCAUGGUUCAAUAGUGAAAGACGGUUUUGCUGUCACUUAUAGAUGGAUCCGCGCCGCAUUAGCUAGUUGGUAAGGUAACGGCUUACCAAGGCUACGAUGCGUAGCCGACCUGAGAGAGGGAUAGGCCACACUGGAACUGGGACACGGUCCAGACUCCUGCGGGAGGGCGCAGUAGGGAAUGUGACGCAAUGGGCGAAAGCAUGACGGAGCAAGGCCGCGUGAGAGAUGAAGAUCUUCGGAUCGUAAAACUCUGUUAUUAGGGAAGAACAAAUGUGUAAGUAACUAUGCACGUCGUGACGGUACCUAAUCAGAAAGCCACGGCUAACUACGUG
Molecule: ribosomal RNA, 497 nt
Filed under: uncultured bacterium
Lineage: Bacteria
Description: partial 16S ribosomal RNA
Rfam family: Bacterial small subunit ribosomal RNA
Source: RNAcentral